AGGUGCGAUCAUACCAGCACUAAUGCACCGGAUCCCAUCAGAACUCCACAAUUAAGCGUGCUUUGGCGAGAGUAGUAUUAGGAUGGGUGACCUCCUGGGAAGUCCUCGUGUUGCACCUC
Molecule: ribosomal RNA, 119 nt
Filed under: Vigna angularis (adzuki bean)
Lineage: Eukaryota; Viridiplantae; Streptophyta; Magnoliopsida; Fabales; Fabaceae
Source: RNAcentral